Amphiprion ocellaris (clown anemonefish) is the source of this 550-nucleotide long non-coding RNA. The record is from Ensembl. Lineage: Eukaryota; Metazoa; Chordata; Actinopteri; Pomacentridae.
GAGGUAGAGAUAGAGGGGUAGAGAAAGAAACAGAGUGAAUGUAAUGCAAUAAUGAUAUAUAUAGUAAAUACAUAGGUAGUUAGAGAAGGGCUCAGUGCAUCCAGAGAGGUUCCCCAGCAGCCUAGGCCUAUAGCAGCAUAACUAGGGGCAAACUAAAGGGACGUCAAGAGGGGAAGUCAGUUGUGCAAAUGAAAACACCAGCUCACCCCGUCAGGGUCACCCAGUCAGCCCUAACUAUAAGCUUUGUCGAAAAGGAAGGUUUUAAUCCUGGUCUUAAAAAUAGAGAGGGUGUCCGCCUCCCGAACCCAAACUGGGAGCUGGUUCCACAGGAGAGGUGCCUGAUAACUGAAGGCUCUGCCUCCCAUUCUACUUUUAGAGAUUCUAGGAACAACAAGUAAGCCUGCAGUCUGAAAGCGAAGAGUUCUGCUAGGGUAAUAUGGUACUAUCAGGUCUUUAAGAUAUGAUGGAGAUUGGUUGUUAAGAGCUUUAUAUGUCAGAAGAAGGAUUUUGAAUUCUAUUCUAGAUUUAACAGGAAGCCAAUGAAGAGAAA